AUGGUCGGUGCUCGGAGCGGCACUUCUCGCGAGGAUCACUUCGAGGAAAAAUACGAGAGAAAUCACCAGCUAAAACCGGAAGAGAAAAACAGAGAAUCAGAUAGCUUGAAGGAUGCAACACAGACUUUGAGCAUCGGGUCUGUGCUGAUAGCGACGGUGACGUUUGGCGCCACAUUCGCACUGCCUGGUGGUUACAAGGCGGACGAUCGUCCCAACGGUGGCUCACCGACGCUCGCAGGCACGUACGGCUUCGACGCGUUCAUGAUGGCCAACACGCUGGCCUUCAUCUGCUCCUCGAUGGCCACGGUCGGCUUCAUGUUCUCCGGGACUCCCAUGGUUAACAGGAGGAGCCGAAAGUUCCACCUCAGCUGCUCCGUGUAUUUCAUGGAGGCUUCAGUCACGAGCCUGACGGCCGCAUUCGCGCUGGGGGUGUACUUGGUGCUGGCUCCCGUCGCUUACAAGACCGCCAUUGCCAUUUGUGCCGUUAGCCCUUUUGUGUUGCUCUGGAAAAAUGUUGAUUGUUGGAAGAGAUGGAUUCGUUUUGCUGGACCCUUUUGGGUUAGGAAGAGGCUAUUUUGGACCUUGCAAGAGUUUGUACGGCAGUUCGUGUGGAGCAUACUGCUUGAACUUUGGCCCCUCGUGAUUAUCUUCUGUUGGGCAGCAUUCGCAAAUACUGGCACACACUUUUAA
Molecule: ribosomal RNA, 690 nt
Filed under: Triticum aestivum (bread wheat)
Lineage: Eukaryota; Viridiplantae; Streptophyta; Magnoliopsida; Poales; Poaceae
Description: partial small subunit ribosomal RNA
Source: RNAcentral